Molecule: ribosomal RNA, 620 nt
Filed under: uncultured Lachnospiraceae bacterium
Lineage: Bacteria; Bacillati; Bacillota; Clostridia; Lachnospirales; Lachnospiraceae
Description: bacterial SSU rRNA
Rfam family: Bacterial small subunit ribosomal RNA
Source: RNAcentral
AGUGGCGGACGGGUGAGUAACGCGUGGGUAACCUGCCCUGUACAGGGGGAUAACAGUCAGAAAUGACUGCUAAUACCGCAUAAGACCACAGCACCGCAUGGUGCAGGGGUAAAAACUCCGGUGGUAUAAGAUGGACCCGCGUUGGAUUAGCUGGUUGGUGAGGUAACGGCUCACCAAGGCGACGAUCCAUAGCCGGCCUGAGAGGGUGAACGGCCACAUUGGGACUGAGACACGGUCCAGACUCCUACGGGAGGCAGCAGUGGGGAAUAUUGCACAAUGGGGGAAACCCUGAUGCAGCGACGCCGCGUGAAGGAAGAAGUAUCUCGGUAUGUAAACUUCUAUCAGCAGGGAAGAUAGUGACGGUACCUGACUAAGAAGCCCCGGCUAACUACGUGCCAGCAGCCGCGGUAAUACGUAGGGGGCAAGCGUUAUCCGGAUUUACUGGGUGUAAAGGGAGCGUAGACGGACUGGCAAGUCUGAUGUGAAAGGCGGGGGCUCAACCCCUGGACUGCAUUGGAAACUGUUAGUCUUGAGUGCCGGAGAGGUAAGCGGAAUUCCUAGUGUAGCGGUGAAAUGCGUAGAUAUUAGGAGGAACACCAGUGGCGAAGGCGGCUUACUGG